Molecule: long non-coding RNA, 7466 nt
Filed under: Daucus carota (carrot)
Lineage: Eukaryota; Viridiplantae; Streptophyta; Magnoliopsida; Apiales; Apiaceae
Description: long non-coding RNA (DCAR_LNC001045)
Source: RNAcentral
UAGGAUGUGUGUUAAUGCAACGUGAUAAGGUAAUUGCUUAUGCAUCUCGACAAUUAAGAAAUCAUGAGAAGAAUUACCCCACCCACGAUUUAGAAUUGGCUGCAGUAGUUUUCGCGCUUAAAAUCUGGAGGCAUUACUUGUAUGGAGGAAAGUGUAAAAUUUUUACAGAUCAUCAAAGUUUAAAGUACCUCUUUUCACAGAAAGAUUUAAAUAUGAGGCAGAGAAGAUGGUUGGAGUUGUUAAAGGAUUAUGAUUCUGAAAUUUUAUAUCACCCUGGUAAGGCGAAUGUUGUAGCUGAUGCGUUAAGUAGGAAGGAAGUCGGGAAUUGUGCGAGUGUCAUAGUAGAAUCACUGGAUGUUCAAGAAGAAAGACCUGGAAUGGAAUUUGGUAUACGAAAGAAGGAUGAGAGCUUAUUGUGUCAAAUUAAGGUCAAACCGAUGUUAUUAGAAAAGAUAAAGGCAAGUCAGAUUCAAGAUGAACGAUUAAAGGAAAUUUUGAAUAAUUCUAUUUCAGAAUCGGGAAAGAAGGAUUUUAGGAAAGGAAACGACGACAUAGUGAGGUUCCGCGAUCGAAUAUGUGUACCAUCUGAUAUAGAGAUUAAGAGGGAAAUAUUGUCUGACGCACAUUCAUCAUCUUUUUCGGUACAUCCUGGAUCUACGAAGAUGUAUAAAGACUUAAAGCAACAUUUUUGGUUGCCUAAGAUGAAGAGAGAAAUUGCAGAAUGGGUGGCAAGAUGUUUAAUUUGUCAACAAGUGAAAGCGGAGCAUCAAAGGCCAGGAGGUUUAUUACAAUCACUACAUGUCCCUGAAUGGAAAUGGGAACACAUCACCAUGGAUUUUGUGUUAGGGUUGCCAAGGACACAAAAAGGAAAUGAUGUCAUCUGGGUUAUCGUGGAUAGACUAACAAAGAGUGCACAUUUUCUAGCUAUAUCGGAAUCAUCACCUUUGGAGAAGUUAGCCAAGUUGUAUAUACGAGAAAUAGUUAGGUUACAUGGAGUACCUGUUUCAAUUGUGUCUGACAGAGAUCCCAGAUUUACUUCGAGAUUUUAGAAUAGUUUUCAAGAAGAGAUGGGUACAAAACUAAGUAUGAGCACGGCAUUUCACCCUCAGACGGAUGGUCAAUCGGAACGUACAAUUCAAAUUUUAGAAGACAUGUUAAGAGCUUGUGUGUUGGAUUUUAAAGGAAGUUGGGAAGAACAUUUACCUUUAGCAGAAUUUGCAUAUAAUAAUAGUGAUCAAGCGACAAUUGGGAUGGCUCCAUAUGAAGCUCUUUAUGGACGUCGAUGUAGAACACCAUUAUGUUGGGAUGAAGUUGGAGAAAGAAGAUUGUUGGGGCCAGAGUUAAUUCGGGUAACUACGAAGAAGGUGAAGUUGAUACAGCAAAGGAUUUUAAUUGCUCAGAGUAGGCAAAAAAGUUAUGCAGACAAGGAUCGGCGAGAUGUGGUGUUUAAGGAUGGAGAUUUUGUGUUUCUUAAAAUUUCUCCAUGGAAGGGUGUUAUGAGAUUCGGGAUGAAAGGAAAAUUAAGUCCUCCUUAUAUUGGACCAUUUGAGGUUCUUAGAAGAAUUGGAGAAGUGGCAUAUGAGCUCGCGCUACCACCAAGUCUUGGACAUAUUCAUAACGUAUUUCACGUGUCAUAUUUGAGGAAGUAUGUCUCGGAUCCGUCGCAUAUUAUAGAUUAUGAACUAAUAGAAAUUCAAGAAAAUAUGCAGUACGAAGAAAUUCCAUUAGAAAUAGUAGAUCGUCACGAGCAGAAGUUAAGAACGAAGGUCAUACCACUGGUGAAAGUGAUUUGGCGAAAUCAUGAAAUAGAGGAAGCAACUUGGGAACCUGAAGAAAUGAUGAAAUCAAAGUAUCCCCACUUAUUCAAUAAGUCAGGUACAAAUUAAGUUUAAUUUCGGGGACGAAAUUCUUUUAAGGCGGGAAGGAUGUAAUAUCCAUGCUUCAUUUUAUUUGAAAAUACAUAAAUUAUAUGUAUUUGAAGAAUAUUAUUAUAUUUUCUUCCUUUUAGUAAAAUUUCGUUCAGUCCCAAUAUAUAUUUUUGAAUUAUUUUCAGCCCAAUAUUAAUCGGCCAAUUAUUAAUCGAACCUCGCUAGAUAGCCAAGUUCGAUUUUAUAGUUAAUAGGCAUCCCUUAACCUCAAUAUGUAGUUGAGGUAGGAACCUUGUGCUCACAUCUUUUCGAUGUGGGACAAUUUUACCUUAUUAUGAAAAUAAAUAGCAUACAAGCUUGAGAGCUUUAUAGAGGAAUAUAGGUGGACCCUUAAUUAAUUUGUCAAUGUGGGACAUUUUCAUCCUUGUUUCACUGACUUUCAUGUCUAUUUACAUUACUUGAACUUUUUGUUAGUGAACAGACUUGAACUCCAUCGGACAAAUAUUUUUUUUACUUUGAAAUAUCUUAUAGAACUUAAGAUAGGUUCUAAGCUCACUUUCUCAUUUUGGGAAGGAGUGAGUUCCUUUUAAUCACUUAACUAAAUAACUUUAUGGUAUUAUAUAGAGUUGAGAAGGAGGUCUAUUCUAAACCUUCUCGAUGUGGGACAAUAAAAAUUGUCCAAAAUUAAACCAACAAGUCUUAGUUGGUUCAUAUUAUUUUUAAUAUGGGCUUGAUGGCCCUAAGAUAUAUAGAGAAAGAGAUGAUGAUCUCUCGUAUUAUCUCGAUGUGGGACUAAUAUUGUCCAAAACCAAGAAGCUGUCUUACUUGGUUAUUUUCUUACUUGGUUUGUUUUAGUAUUGGUUCCAUAACCUUGUUAUAUAGGAAAAGAGAUGGCACAUCUCUAAUACCUCUUCAAUGUGGGACUUUGUCAAGUCUUGGUAAACUUAAAGCUUUUUCUUAUACUUGCUUAUGAGAAAUUUAUGUAUUUCUCUUUAUAUUAAAAUUUUAAAAACAGAUUUAAUUGGCGAUAUCUAAGCCAAGAAAAAGUUGUGAACUUUCUUGAGCAGAAGGUGUUGAACUUUCUUAAGUGAAGAAAAGAGCUAAGCAAGAUUUUUAUAGAUGUUGGAGGGGAGCCAACUCCUAUAUCUAAUCAAUGUGGGAGGUUUGUAACUUGUAUAGUAAAUAAGCAACUCCCAACCCACAUUGGAAAGAGAAAAGAGGAAAGUUGAGAAUAUAUAGUACAAGCCAAGCUAUGGGCAACAAAAAAGAAAACUUGUUGAUCUUAGCAAGGCAUGCAUCAUUUAUUAAUACUUUGCCACCCGGCGCCUAGCUAUCCUCCCUUGAACUCCUUUUAGUUUUAUUCUUUGUCCUUGUACCACAUCGAGAACAUGAUAUCAUGUUCUCAUGAAUAUAAGCAAUGAUCUAAAUUUUCCCACUUUCCUUAUAUAAAUACACCAUCCUAGUUGGCUUUCCUAAAUAGGAAGCUUAAGACUUCUACUUUGUAAGUCCUCGUACUUAAUUCUUCAUUAUUUAUUUGAUUUAUUAAUUUAUAUUAUUAUUUAUUUGUGCGUGGUUAGUUAAUUUGAAUUAGCUAGUAGAGUUGUAAUUAGUAGAAUUUUAGCUUAUUAAUCGAAAAUUGUGAUUAAUAUUGUUAGGACGGGAUUAAUAAUAUCGAGGUUCGAGAUCGAGAAAGAAUUUAAAUUUUAGAAGCGAAUUAAGGUAAGUUAUACUGUACUUAUUCGCUGUUGAUGUUUAAUAUUUAAAUGAUGAUUUGAUUUUGGAUAUGAUGUUUUACUGAUGAAAAAAACAAGUAUUCUUGCAUUGAUAUUUGAUGAACUGAUGAUGACGCUUCCUUUUUGGAAGUAAAGCUAAACAGAUUGUUUAGCUGGCCGGGAUCCCAACUUGACGAAUUGAUGAACUAAUCAUACUUGAAUACUCGGUUCUAAUCUUAUGUGAACUAUUUUGCUGUGAUGAACCUUUGAUGAUAUUGAUAAAUUCUUGAUGAUUAUUUUAUCGAAAGAUUGUUUUAGUUCUUGGAUAAACCUCAGUUGAAUCGUACAAUAUAUGCUUACUGAGCUUUACAGCUCACUCUUUUAUGUCACUGACUUUCUCAGGAAAGAAUUUUGGAGAAGGAUGUUCUGGAAAGGAUAAGAAUGUGAUGAACUAAGGUUUUAGUGACAACGAGAGGCUUGUAGCAAGUAAAGGUUUUGUGUUUGUGUUUAAGUUAGGAGCUUAUGAUGUAAUCUUUUGUUACGAACUUGGAAACGUUGUAAGAACUUUAUAUUAUUAAGUGCUGUUAAGGUUGUGUAAGCAUAUAUUGAGUUGGUUAGUUUGUUUGGCAUCCCCGGGUCGGGUUUCUGAGGUCAUCCCGGGCCGGGGGCGCCACAGGUGGUAUCAGAGCUAUAGGUUCGGGUAUCGGCGAAAGUAGAAUUAAGAUUCUAGACUAGUGUGUUUUUAAGUUAGGAGAAUAUGUCUAAGGGAUAUGUGGACCUUAGUUGUGAAUCUGUGGAAUAAACUAUAUGUUUAGUACUUACUAUAGUGCUAGUAUGAUUUGUGGAUUAGAACAGAGUUCUAAUAUAUAUUAUAUGAUUUUUAGGUAACGAUGAAUGAAGAAAAUAGAAGUGGAGCUGGGCCUAGCGUUCAAAUUAGUCCUGAAAUGAUGUUGGUUUUGGAGGAAUUGAGGAACAUGUUGAAGACUAUUAGGGGAGAUCAAGAAAAUACGAAUACAAUUAAGGUAAACACUGAUCGUGUGGAAGAACAAGAUCGUAUAAAUAAUCCGGAGCGAGAAGGUGAGAAUAAACGAAGGUGUACUUACAAGACCUUUAAGGAUGCUGAUCCCCCGAUAUUUAAAGGAGAUUUCGAUUCUCAUGUUGCGAAUACAUGGAUUAAGGAAAUGGAGAAAGUGAUAGAAAUUUCUGAAUGCUUGGAUGAACAAAAGGUGAAAUUCGCAACACACUCUUUAAGGGGGGAAGCAGUAUUUUGGUGGGACACUGUUAAACAGACGGAAGAUUGUUCAACAAUGACUUGGAUGAGGUUUAAGGAGUUGUUCUUUGAUAAAUAUUUUCCAGCGUGUAUGAAAAAUGAGAUGGAGAUGAAGUUUUUAGGAAUAAAGCAAGAAGGAAUGUCUGUGUCAGAAUAUUUGUCGAAGUUUUUGGAGCUUUCUAGGUUUGCCCCUCAUCAGGUUAAUACUGAAGCUAGGAAAUGUCAGAGAUUUCAGGAGGGACUGAAACCUCAAAUUAGAGAAAGGGUCUCUUUGUUGGAACUAGAGCAAUUUGAUAAGUUGGUGGGAAAAGCUAGGAUUGCCGAAAGGGAGUAUGAAGCUCGCACCCAAUUCUUCAACAGUAAGAAAAGAGGAAGAGAAAUAGAUCUGCGUGAUAAUUCAGGAUAUAAGAAGGAUGAUAAGAAGUUUCAAAAGACAAAGAAAGAGAGUUUCCGGGGAAAUGAUAGGAAGACCACUAUAUCGGAGUGUAGGAAGUGUGGACUGAAGCAUGGUGGUGACAUUUGUUACCGAGCAGAUGGGUUGUGCUAUAAUUGUGGAGAAAGGAGGCAUAUAGCGACUCAAUGCCUAAAGCCGAAAGUGAUUUCCUGCUAUAGCUGCGAAAAACCAGGACAUGUAUCGAGGGACUGCCCACAGAAAGGAGUCAAGCAAGAAGUUGAAACUAAAGGAAAUAGGACUUCUACAACAGGACCUUUUCAGCAAUCAGCACCUAGGGCAGUGGCAAGAACCUACGCAAUGACAACUCAGGAUGCUGAAAAAUCUCAUGAUGUUGUGUCAGGUACGCUUCAACUUUGUUCUCAAGAUGUGCAUGUUCUGUUUGAUUCUGGAUCAACUCAUUCUUUUGUGGAUUUGAAGAAUGUGGAUAAGUUGAAUACUACUGCGCAAAGUUUAGAUAAUUCACUACUAGUAAAACUCCCUAAUGGUAGGAAUUUGUUUGUGAACAAAGUUUAUAAGGAUUGCCCCCUUGUAAUUAGCGGACAUACUUUUCUAGUAGACUUGUUACCUUUAGACUUAAGGGAUUUUAGAGUGAUUUUGGGAAUGGAUUGGUUGACGAAGUAUAAAGCCAAUUUGGAUUGUAGUAAAAAGCGAAUAUGUUUAAGGAGGCUAGAUAAAAAGAAGGUUUAUUUUAAAGGAGACAGGUCAGAAAAACCUAGUGUCAUGAUAUCAGUUCUGAAAGCUUAUAAGAUGUUAAGAAAAGGAUGUGAAGGGUUUCUAGCUUAUGUGAUUGGUGAGGAGGAAGUUAAAAAUAAAGUUGAGAAUACCCAUGUGGUUAGAGAGUUUCUAGAUGUUUUUCCCGAGGAUUUGCCAGGAUUGCCACCCGAAAGAGAGGUUGAGUUUAGUAUUGAAUUGGUUCCGGAGGCGCAACCAGUAUCGAAAGCACCAUAUAGAAUGGCACCAACCGAGUUGGCAGAACUUAAGGUACAGUUACAAGAAUUGUUGGAUAAAAAGUAUAUUAGACCAAGUGUUUCUUCUUGGGGAGCACCGGUGUUGUUUGUGAAAAAGAAGGAUGGUUCUCUCAAUUAUGUAUUGAUUAUAGAGAACUGAAUAAGUUGACUGUAAAGAAUAAAUACCCACUUCCGCGAAUAGACGAUCUUUUUGAUCAAUUACAAGGAGCCACUUACUUUUCAAAGAUAGAUUUGCGCUCAGGUUAUCAUCAAUUGAGAGUGAAGAAAGAAAGCAUUCCAUUUACGGCGUUUAGGAAUCGAUAUGGUCAUUAUGAGUUUGUAGUAAUGUCGUUUGGGGUGACAAAUGCACCUGCGGUAUUUAUGGAUUUAAUGAAUCGAGUAUUUAGGAAUUAUUUGGAUAAGUUUGUAAUUGUGUUUAUCGACGAUAUUCUUAUUUACUCAAGGACUGAGCAGGAACAUGAAGAACAUUUGAGGAUGGUCUUGGAAACUUUGAGGAAAGAACAGUUGUAUGCUAAGUUUUCAAAAUGUGAGUUUUGGUUAAGGAGAGUAAGUUUUCUUGGACAUGUAGUUUCAGAAGAGGGGAUUUCGGUUGAUCCUUCAAAGAUUGAGGUGAUCAUGAAUUGGGAGAGACCAAGGACGGUGACAGAGAUUCGAAGUUUCUUAGGUUUGGCCGGGUAUUAUAGGAAGUUUGUUCAAGAUUUCUCUAAGAUAGCUGGACCAUUGACAAAUCUCACAAGGAAAGACGUUAAGUUUGUUUGGUCGGAGGAAUGUGAGAAAAGUUUUAUUGAAUUAAAGAAAAGACUAACGUCUGCUCCAGUACUCGGAUUACCAGAUGGAACUGAAGAUUUUGUUAUUUAUAGUGAUGCGUCAAGAAAAGGAUUAGGAUGUGUGUUAAUGCAACGUGAUAAGGUAAUUGCUUAUGCAUCUCGACAAUUAAGAAAUCAUGAGAAGAAUUACCCUACCCACGAUUUAGAAUUGGCUGCAGUAGUUUUCGCGCUUAAAAUUUGGAGGCAUUACUUGUAUGGAGGAAAGUGUAAAAUUUUUACAGAUCAUCAAAGUUUAAAGUACCUCUUUUCACAGAAAGAUUUAAAUAUGAGGCAGAGAAGAUGGCUGGAGUUGUUAAAGGAUUAUGAUUGUGAAAUUUUAUAUCACCCUGGUAAGGCGAAUGUUGUAGCUGAUGCGUUAAGUAGGAAG